Molecule: unclassified non-coding RNA, 252 nt
Filed under: Hevea brasiliensis (rubber tree)
Lineage: Eukaryota; Viridiplantae; Streptophyta; Magnoliopsida; Malpighiales; Euphorbiaceae
Source: RNAcentral
GAGAGGAGAAAAAAAAAAAUUAAAGAAGAGAAAAGACUCUAAUUUGAAAGGCUUUGAAAGAAAUCUAGCUCAUCAGUAGAGGGAAAAAGAGAGUGAUUAUGGGUAGACUACCUUGCUGCGAUAAGCUUGGAGUGAAGAAAGGUCCAUGGACUCCUGAAGAAGAUAUCAUGUUGGUAUCAUACAUUCAAGAACAUGGUCCUGGGAAUUGGAGAGCUGUGCCCACUAACACAGGGUUGCUUAGAUGCAGUAAGA